UACGUAGGGUGCGAGCGUUGUCCGGAAUUAUUGGGCGUAAAGGGCUCGUAGGCGGUCUGUUGCGUCGGGAGUGAAAACUCAGGGCUUAACCCUGAGCCUGCUUCCGAUACGGGCAGACUAGAGGUAUGCAGGGGAGAACGGAAUUCCUGGUGUAGCGGUGAAAUGCGCAGAUAUCAGGAAGAACACCUAUGGCGAAGGCAGCUCUCUGGGACGGUACUGACGCUGAGACGCGAAAGCGUGGGGAGCGAACAGG
Molecule: ribosomal RNA, 253 nt
Filed under: uncultured bacterium
Lineage: Bacteria
Description: partial 16S ribosomal RNA
Rfam family: Bacterial small subunit ribosomal RNA
Source: RNAcentral